RNAcentral lists this small nuclear RNA (79 nucleotides) under Homo sapiens (human). RNAcentral's name for it is "partial ncRNA". Lineage: Eukaryota; Metazoa; Chordata; Mammalia; Primates; Hominidae. The record is from RNAcentral.
AGAGAAUCGCUUGAACCCAGGAGGCAGAGGUUGCAGUGAGCUGAGAUCGUGCCACUGCACUCCAACCUGGGUGACAGAG